ACUCCUACGGGAGGCAGCAGUGGGGAAUAUUGGACAAUGGGGGAAACCCUGAUCCAGCCAUGCCGCGUGUGUGAAGAAGGCCUUCGGGUUGUAAAGCACUUUCAGUGGGGAGGAAAGGUUGAUGGUUAAUACCUAUCAGCUGUGACGUUACCCACAGAAGAAGCACCGGCUAACUCCGUGCCAGCAGCCGCGGUAAUACGGAGGGUGCAAGCGUUAAUCGGAAUUACUGGGCGUAAAGCGUGCGUAGGCGGCCAUUUAAGUCAAAUGUGAAAUCCCCGAGCUUAACUUGGGAAUUGCAUUCGAUACUGGAUGGCUAGAGUAUGGGAGAGGAUGGUAGAAUUCCAGGUGUAGCGGUGAAAUGCGUAGAGAUCUGGAGGAAUACCGAUGGCGAAGGCAGCCAUCUGGCCUAAUACUGACGCUGAGGUACGAAAGCAUGGGGAGCAAACAGGAUUAGAUACCCUGGUAGCGAGUA
RNAcentral lists this ribosomal RNA (472 nucleotides) under uncultured bacterium. Its description in RNAcentral is "bacterial SSU rRNA". It matches the Rfam family "Bacterial small subunit ribosomal RNA", at positions 335 to 799 of the family's 1533-position model. The record is from RNAcentral.